RNAcentral lists this transfer RNA (86 nucleotides) under Planctomycetaceae bacterium. RNAcentral describes it as "tRNA-Leu". It matches the Rfam family "tRNA". Rfam says of the family: Transfer RNA (tRNA) molecules are approximately 80 nucleotides in length. Their secondary structure includes four short double-helical elements and three loops (D, anti-codon, and T loops). Lineage: Bacteria; Pseudomonadati; Planctomycetota; Planctomycetia; Planctomycetales; Planctomycetaceae. The record is from RNAcentral.
GCCCUGAUGGUGGAAUUGGUAGACACGCAGGACUUAAAAUCCUGUGGACAGAAAUGUCUGUGUGGGUUCAAGUCCCACUCGGGGUA